Triticum aestivum (bread wheat) is the source of this 135-nucleotide non-coding RNA. Lineage: Eukaryota; Viridiplantae; Streptophyta; Magnoliopsida; Poales; Poaceae. The record is from Rfam.
UAUCUACUUUCUCCGUCUGAAAAUACUUGUCAUCAAAAUGGGUAAAAAGAGAUGUGUCUAGAACUAAAAUACAUCUAGAUACAUCCACUUUUGUUCAUUUUGAUGACAAGUAUUUUCGGACGAAGGAAGUAUCAU